RNAcentral lists this transfer RNA (72 nucleotides) under Nematostella vectensis (starlet sea anemone). It matches the Rfam family "tRNA". From Rfam's summary of the family: Transfer RNA (tRNA) molecules are approximately 80 nucleotides in length. Their secondary structure includes four short double-helical elements and three loops (D, anti-codon, and T loops). Further hydrogen bonds mediate the characteristic L-shaped molecular structure. tRNAs have two regions of fundamental functional importance: the anti-codon, which is responsible for specific mRNA codon recognition, and the 3' end, to which the tRNAs corresponding amino acid is attached (by aminoacyl-tRNA synthetases). tRNAs cope with the degeneracy of the genetic code in two manners: having more than one tRNA (with a specific anti-codon) for a particular amino acid; and 'wobble' base-pairing, i.e. permitting non-standard base-pairing at the 3rd anti-codon position. The record is from Rfam by way of RNAcentral. Lineage: Eukaryota; Metazoa; Cnidaria; Anthozoa; Actiniaria; Edwardsiidae.
GGUCCCAUGGUGUAAUGGUUAGCACUCUGGACUGUAAAUCCGGUGAUCCGAGUUCAAAUCUCGGUGGGACCU